UCUGGCUCGAGGAAAAAGUCUCCAGCUAUAAACCCUACCUUCCAUUCCCAUCUCCUCCAUCGUCUCCACAAACACCGUCAAACAUCUUAUCGGCGGUAUGUACAACGUUAACGGCGCCGCCGAGAACGCUAUCGUGAAAAACAGCUGCAACAUUUUUUUUUCCUCUCUCUGUUUUUUUUUUUCAGGGGAAACGCAGAUCGUG
Long non-coding RNA from Arabidopsis thaliana (thale cress), 202 nucleotides. RefSeq annotates it as other RNA. The record is from RefSeq. The transcript has a single exon. Lineage: Eukaryota; Viridiplantae; Streptophyta; Magnoliopsida; Brassicales; Brassicaceae.